ACCAACCAAAGCACUUUUUGGAGUACAUCGGUAAAAUAAGGGCAACAAUAUUUUAAACAACUUACGUACAUACUUAUAAUCUUUUUUACAUUCCCGCGUCAACGCGGGCCUAUUAUGUAUAUAAAUAUUUGUUGAGACUAUUACUGUGGCAGAUCAGGUAAACCGUUGAUCACCAAGACUUGCACAUAUGUACUAUUAUGAUGGAUUUGCGGUCUCUGCCUCUCGUUUGACUGACUUGAAGUCUUGGAAAUGCUGCCUUCCUCAGUUGUUAGUUCUGCUUCGACUUUUAUUAAUUUUCUUUGCAUAUUAUAUAUAUGAACUCAAACUCUGAGAAUAUUAAAAACUUGUGGUCAAAUGCAAUUUAUGGGUCUUUUUCCUAACAAAUUAUGUACUUAUAUAGUUAUAGUAGGUCUUUUAAGACGGCUUUGAUAUGCCAUACAUAAAUUCACAACUGAAACUCUUUCAACUAAUAAGUCUUCACACACAUACAUAUAGGUAUUUAUUUAAAUUUAUCCGUAUAUAUUGUUGAGAACAUCCACACUACAAGAAAAAUAGGAUACAACAACAUUAAAAACAAGUGUAUUUUUCUCUUGUAAUAAACAUGCUUUGACAUGGAAUGCACGGUGUUAUAUACCAUAGCUUUAUUUCACAAUGUUCAAGUAUUGCGUUGCUAAAAUUAGUACGAUUACGUGCAUGUUCCCAUUGUAAACUGGUUUUUUUAUUAUUUAAAAUUAUCAUUGCGCGUUGUUAUUUAUGUUCAGUAAUACAACAUGUACUUGAACAUUGUGGAUUAUAUUCUAUAAGGGAAAUUUUAUUUAAACCCAAGUAACAUUUUUCUACUCCUAACUUAAAUUUUAAAUGUUAAUUGUCUAUUUUAUCAUAUUGCAUAAUUAUUAUUAAGUACUAAAUAAAAUUAAUAAUAAAACUCAAAUAUCUCAAUAAACAUAUACACUAUAAUUAAACCCUAGCAUCACUCUUUAUUUAUCCUACAUUCAUUCCGGUUAAAAUCCUAAUAGUUCUUAUAGAGAAAAACAAGUUUAUUUUUUAUUUUUUAUUUGUAUUGAUAGAUGAUGAUUUUGAAGUUUUAAAUCAUCCAAUUAAGGUAUGACUCGAUUUAUGGAUAUUUUAUUCGUUUGAUUUAACCUUUUAUAGAGAUUAGAAGAUGAGUUUUUGAGUUUCAAUUUUUUUUUUCAUCAAUCCUGCAUAGUACCCUUUGUUAAACUUUCUGCAACAACAAAUUGUUGCAGACACUCUCCCGGUGUCUGUCUGCACCCCAAAACACCAUCCAAUACGAUUUCUGCUGUUGCUGGUACAUGUAUAGCUGCUGCUGUCUAUGUCCAUGUGCCCUCCAAUACGAUUUAAAUUUUUCUUGUAACUGAUCAAUCCUUGAAGACACUAAUUUAGGUCCACAAUCACUCCAGAUAAAGAAUUAUAUAGCUAACAAAUAACCUACUGAAGCUUGCCUGAUAACUUUUUGAAAGCUAAAAUCAUUGGAUGGCUGCACAAUGUCAUUAAUA
RNAcentral lists this long non-coding RNA (1517 nucleotides) under Malus domestica (apple). RNAcentral's name for it is "long non-coding RNA (MDOM_LNC011448)". The record is from RNAcentral. Lineage: Eukaryota; Viridiplantae; Streptophyta; Magnoliopsida; Rosales; Rosaceae.